Molecule: long non-coding RNA, 432 nt
Filed under: Nicotiana benthamiana
Lineage: Eukaryota; Viridiplantae; Streptophyta; Magnoliopsida; Solanales; Solanaceae
Description: long non-coding RNA (NBEN_LNC028481)
Source: RNAcentral
UUAGAGUGUGGGUACUCAUUGGGCCCCAUCAUCCACCCAAAUUAUUCCUUCUUAUCUCUUUGCUGACUCACUAGGACAUGUUACAUCUUUACAUAAAACUUUUCCUACUAUUUACAAGAUUUUUCUUUGAAUAAAUAAAUACUAGCCUAACAAGACAAAGACUUUUCUAGCCUAACAAGACUAGCCUAAAAAUACUACACUUUUCUUGAAAAAAAUACUAGCCUAACAUGACAAACACUUUUCUUGAAAAAUACUAGUCUAAUAAGACUAAAAUACUAGCCUAACAAGACUAAACUAAAAUACUACAGUUUUUGAAAAUUACAAGACUUUUUACGAAAAACUCUUUUAGUCUUCAUUUUGCUCUUUGUCUUCUUCUUCUUUGUCUUUUUCCAUAGUAGGUGGAAGAUAAACUUUAGGAAUAUCUUCUUUUUG